RNAcentral lists this ribosomal RNA (323 nucleotides) under uncultured eukaryote. RNAcentral's name for it is "partial 18S ribosomal RNA". It matches the Rfam family "Eukaryotic small subunit ribosomal RNA", at positions 1470 to 1796 of the family's 1831-position model. The record is from RNAcentral.
CCCUUAGAUGUCCGGGGCCGCACGCGCGCUACACUGAAGGAAUCAGCGUGGCUCUGUCCCUGGUCCGAAAGGAUUGGGAAACCCGUUGAAUCUCCUUCGUGAUAGGGAUUGGGGCUUGGAACUGUUCCCCAUGAACGAGGAAUUCCCAGUAAGCGCGAGUCAUAAGCUCGCGUUGAUUACGUCCCUGCCCUUUGUACACACCGCCCGUCGCUACUACCGAUUGAAUGGUCCGGUGAAAUCUCGGGACGGCGGCUUGGUCGCUUGCGUCCGACUGCUGAAACUUGAUUAAACCAUAUCAUUUAGAGGAAGGUGAAGUCGUAACA